RNAcentral lists this ribosomal RNA (808 nucleotides) under uncultured cyanobacterium. RNAcentral describes it as "bacterial SSU rRNA". It matches the Rfam family "Bacterial small subunit ribosomal RNA", at positions 64 to 869 of the family's 1533-position model. The record is from RNAcentral. Lineage: Bacteria; Bacillati; Cyanobacteriota.
GAAAAGAAGNNNNNGNGCGANNCUACCANGCAGNCGUACGAGAGUUUUUACUCUAGUGGCGGACGGGUGAGUAACACGUGAGAAUUUACCUUUGGGAGGGGGAUAACAAUUGGAAACGACUGCUAAUACCCCAUAUGCUUUUGAGUGAAAUGGAUUUAUAUUUAUCCGCCUAGAGAGAAGCUCGCGGCUGAUUAGCUUGUUGGUAAGGUAAGAGCUUACCAAGGCGACGAUCAGUAUCUGGUUUGAGAGGACGAUCAGACACACUGGAACUGAGACACGGUCCAGACUCCUACGGGAGGCAGCAGUGGGGAAUUUUCCGCAAUGGGCGAAAGCCUGACGGAGCAAUACCGCGUGAGGGAAGACUGCCUAUGGGUUGUAAACCUCUUUUUUCAGGGAGGAAUAAAAUGACGUGUACCUGAAGAAUAAGCAUCGGCUAACUCCGUGCCAGCAGCCGCGGUAAGACGGAGGAUGCAAGUGUUAUCCGGAAUCACUGGGCGUAAAGCGUCUGUAGGUGGUUUGAUAAGUCAACUGUUACAUCUUGAGGCUCAACUUCAGAAUCGCAGUCGAAACUAUUAGACUAGAGUAUAGUAGAGGUAAAGGGAAUUUCCAGUGGAGCGGUGAAAUGCGUAGAUAUUGGAAAGAACACCGAUGGCGAAAGCACUUUACUGGGCUAUUACUAACACUCAGAGACGAAAGCUAGGGUAGCAAAUGGGAUUAGAUACCCCAGUAGUCCUAGCCGUAAACUAUGGAUACUAGAUGUUGAACAGGAUCGACCUGUGCAGUAUCAAAGCUAACGCGUUAAGUAUCC